UAGAUUCCUAUUGGCCAGCAGUGCUUUAUUAACAAAUGUACAGGACUUCGCCCAUCAUACAGAGAAAUCCUUUCUCAAAAAAACAAAAAAAGUUUAUUGAGCAGAGAGAUACCAGCGAUGAGAGCAUCCACUCUCCCAUUGCACAGGUGCUAGCUUAAGUGUCAGAAAUGCAAAGAAAAAAGCUCAGAUCAACAGAAGAGAUUGGUGCAAAAAGAAAAAAGAAAAGAACAAAAGUACAUGUAGUAAUAGAGCUGGAGACCUUGCUUGGAGGUAGAGUUCUUGCCUGCCAUGUAUUAGCCUCCAUCUCCAGCACCAUAAGGGUAAAGAAGAAUGUUUGUGUGCAUGGUAAGGGUUGUGGCUGCAGCAAUUGUACUACCUUGCAGAGGUCACUGCUGUGAAACAUUAUUUUAAGACAUUUGUUUUUUUUUCUAUGGAGAGAUGUAUUCUUUUAUGUGUUAUUUGUUUAACUCUGUGAAGCUGGGUUACUUUGCUUGCCUAAAACAGCUGAUUGUCUAAUAAAGAGUUGAUUGGCCAAUUGCAUGGCAGGAGAGGGACAAGCAGGGCUGCCAGGCAGAGAUAGUGAAUAAAUAAAAAAGAAUGAGAUGACAGAGGAGCAAGAGGACACCAGGGGCCAGCCACUCAACUACAAAGCAAGAGAAGAGAAUAAGAAUUAAAGAAAGGUAUAUAGGAUAAAGAUAAAAGUCCAGAGGCAAUGGGUAGGUGGGAUAAUUUAAGAAAAGCUGGCUAGAAACAAGCUAAGCUAGUGUGUGCAUUCAAAGGUAAGAAUAAGACUCCAUAUAUUUGGGAGCUGGGUGUCAGGCUCCCAAAGAGCAGAGUAAGAGUAAAACAAAACCAACUACAGGUCACUAGUUUGCUCACAACGACCUGUAACUCAGGUUCAAGGGAUUUUGACACCUUCUGCUCUGUAAACACUGCUUCCAAUAUUAUAGAUACCAUAGGCUGCCUUGUCCUCCAGCUGGUGCCCAUAUUCAGAGAGUUUGCUUAUGUCCAAUACUGCUGCCCCCCACACUUUAUGAAUUAGGGUAAUUAGGGUCUCCGUGCUCUCAUUAGCCCAGGUCAACUGUUUUUGCUUUUAUCUCCAGCAACAUCUUGGCCCUUUUGCUUAUUGCUCCUCCCUCUCCACAACUGAAUCUCAUCAAUCUCAUUAUAGAGAAUGGGCAUCAAAGUCAGUUGUGAUGUAUCUCUGAUUUCUUUCUCAGCCUAUUUGUCAUCUGUAUAUACUAGAGAUACUGAUUGUUUUUAGUUAAUUUUUUAUCCUGUACUUUACUGAAAGUCUUUACCAGCUGUAGGUGUUCUGUGGUAAAGUAUUUUGGCUAGAAGUUAAAGUACAGUGUUGAAGAGAAAUAGAGUUGACAGCCUUGAAUUCUUCCUGAUUGUAGAGGAAUCAUGG
Mesocricetus auratus (golden hamster) is the source of this 1411-nucleotide long non-coding RNA. RefSeq lists it as uncharacterized. Lineage: Eukaryota; Metazoa; Chordata; Mammalia; Rodentia; Cricetidae. The record is from RefSeq and is a predicted model, not a curated record. The transcript is spliced from 2 exons.